AUGGUUUUGAUUUGAAAGGCGCUUUCGGGUGUCGCUGAUGGAUGGACCCGCGGUGCAUUAGCUAGUUGGUGAGGUAACGGCUCACCAAGGCCACGAUGCAUAGCCGACCUGAGAGGUGAUCGGCCACAUUGGGACUGAGACACGGCCCAAACUCCUACGGGAGGCAGCAGUAGGGAAUCUUCGGCAAUGGACGAAAGUCUGACCGAGCAACGCCGCGUGAGUGAAGAAGGUUUUCGGAUCGUAAACUCUGUUGUUAGAGAAGACAGGAUGAGAGUAACUGUUCAUCCCUGCGGUAUCUAACCAGAAAGCCACGGCAAUACGUGCCAGCAGCCCGGUAAUACGUAGGUGGCAAGCGUUGUCCGGAUUUAUUGGGCGUAAAGCGAGCGCAGCGGUUUCUUAAGUCUGAUGUGAAAGCCCCCGGCUCAACCGGGGAGGGUCAUUGGAAACUGGGAGACUUGAGUGCAGAAGAGGGGAGUGGAUUCCAUGUGUAGCGGUGAAAUGCGUAGAUAUAUGGAGGAACACCAGUGGCGAAGGCGGCUCUCUGGUCUGUAAC
RNAcentral lists this ribosomal RNA (553 nucleotides) under uncultured Bacilli bacterium. RNAcentral describes it as "bacterial SSU rRNA". It matches the Rfam family "Bacterial small subunit ribosomal RNA", at positions 189 to 740 of the family's 1533-position model. Lineage: Bacteria; Bacillati; Bacillota; Bacilli. The record is from RNAcentral.